GGCCACGUGGCCGAGAGGUUAGGCAGCGGUCUGCAAAACCGCGUACAUCGGUUCGAUUCCGGUCGUGGCCU
Molecule: transfer RNA, 71 nt
Filed under: Armatimonadota bacterium
Lineage: Bacteria; Bacillati; Armatimonadota
Description: tRNA-Cys
Rfam family: tRNA
About the family: Transfer RNA (tRNA) molecules are approximately 80 nucleotides in length. Their secondary structure includes four short double-helical elements and three loops (D, anti-codon, and T loops). Further hydrogen bonds mediate the characteristic L-shaped molecular structure. tRNAs have two regions of fundamental functional importance: the anti-codon, which is responsible for specific mRNA codon recognition, and the 3' end, to which the tRNAs corresponding amino acid is attached (by aminoacyl-tRNA synthetases). tRNAs cope with the degeneracy of the genetic code in two manners: having more than one tRNA (with a specific anti-codon) for a particular amino acid; and 'wobble' base-pairing, i.e. permitting non-standard base-pairing at the 3rd anti-codon position.
Source: RNAcentral